CAUCUUAUGUCCAAAAGAGAGAGAGUAUAAAACUAUAAAUCACCAUUAAAAAAAAUAAGAAAAGAAACAAAAGUGCAUGACCUACUACAUUUUAGCUUAGUUUCUUGCUAACUUCUGUAAUACCCAAAACAAUGAACACCUCUGAAAUCUAAAAAAUACUCAAACUGGAUACCUUUUCUUCGGGGGAAAGGAAAUAAAUUACAUCGAACCCGACUACAAUGGUCCAACAACACCAUUUUACCAAUUUGGACUACUUUUUAUUUGAUCAGUUUGCAGUCAUUUUAUGGAUAAUACAUACAUUAGAUGAUAUUUAUCUUUCACAAAUUGGUGUCCGUAAUGGGAGAAGCAGCUUUGUAUGUCCGGCCAAGUUCUAUCGUGCUAGCUCCAUGUCCAUACUCGUUAUCACGCCACUGGUUUCCUUCGGAUCAUAAUAUAACAAAUAUGACCAUUUAUCAGUAAAAACGGAGAAAGUAGCGAAAUCAGAGAAGCUAAUAAAGAACCGAAUACUGCGAGGAAUUGCAAAAGGGAAACAUUACUGAAAACACGCAGCUGUAAAUUAAUAAGGUGCCACAUGUUUCAACACUUAAUUCCUAAAUUUCCAGAUAGAAAGUUAAGAAACUUACCGAAGAACUCCCAAUUUUAACUCAAUAUCUAACAUUAAAAUGGGGAAUUCAUUGGAAGGGAAACUGAAUUUUGGAAAUUUAUCUAUACCAUCGAAUUUGGAUGAGACGAUGCUGUCAGAGAAGACUUGAAGAUAAAGCUGAAAGUGUAGAGACAUAUUGACCUAGGAAGAAGAACCAUCGAUUAGUACAAAAAGGGCACAAAGGUAAUUAUGUGCCCAGCUUUUCACGCAUGGGACACGCGGCGCAUUCUUGAUUAAGAUCUUUUGUUGAUUAAUGUCAAAAUACAAUAUACACACGGACCGAUCAACCAAUUAUAUAGCCCAUAGCUGGAAUUCCAUUUUUACCCCGGGAAGCAGGACGACGAAGUCCUGCUUACUCCCGCUUCUAAAUAGUAGGAAUAUUAUGUCGCCUGAAAAUAUUCAUAAUGAGUAGUCCAAUUUUGUAGCAAUUGCGC
RNAcentral lists this long non-coding RNA (1077 nucleotides) under Nicotiana tabacum (common tobacco). RNAcentral's name for it is "long non-coding RNA (NTAB_LNC001592)". Lineage: Eukaryota; Viridiplantae; Streptophyta; Magnoliopsida; Solanales; Solanaceae. The record is from RNAcentral.